Molecule: ribosomal RNA, 253 nt
Filed under: uncultured bacterium
Lineage: Bacteria
Description: partial 16S ribosomal RNA
Rfam family: Bacterial small subunit ribosomal RNA
Source: RNAcentral
UACGGGGGGGGCAAGCGUUGUUCGGAAUUACUGGGCGUAAAGGGCUCGUAGGUGGCCAACUAAGUCAGACGUGAAAUCCCUCGGCUUAACCGGGGAACUGCGUCUGAUACUGGAUGGCUUGAGUUCGGGAGAGGGAUGCGGAAUUCCAGGUGUAGCGGUGAAAUGCGUAGAUAUCGAGAGGAACACCUGCGGCGAAGGCGGGUUGCUGGGCUGACACUGACGCUGAGGCGCGAAAGCUAGGGGAGCGAACGGG